ACGUGUAAAAUUUAUGUAAUACAUGAGCGUUGAAACUUUGAUUUAUCGGUCAACAUUUAUUUACCGAAAUUUUGAUCUACAGAUGCGUGGACAAAUAUUGAAGCUGAUUUUCACUAACACAUCAUUCAUGGAGUUUUGAAUCCCCAAAUCGACCCCUCUUAGCCAAGAUUAAAACUAUAUUUGUCUAUUUAAAAGGGAUCGGUUUAAGGAUCUGGAGCUUUAUAGAUAAUUUAAAGUGAAACCCGCUUCAAUUCUUGUUCAUGCCAUCACUUAACGCUGGUGAAGUAUGAAUGUCUAAUUUUCAAAAUGUUAUCUAUUUAUGGAGAAUAUUUUAAAAAGAAAACUAAUGAAAAUGGUUUGAAAACUUGGAGUUUUAAUGAUAAGGAUAAAAUAAAGGGUAAAGUGAAUAGUAUCAGGUUUGACUUUUUAGUCUAAAAAUAUGAUUUUUCGUUAAAGUAGACAGUACCGUGGGUUUUUCGUUAAAACUCCUUAUUUUAAAAGGAUGGGACCAAUAAAAUUACCUCCUAGAAUUAGAUGGUUAUCCGUACUUUAUCCAAGAUAAAAUAAAACAAAAAGUGAAAGAUUUGUGAUCAAGUCAUCAAUGGUGACGUAUCACCUAACUUAAUUUAAAAUUUAAAAUAUGAAGUUUCGAUCAAUGUGAAACGGGAAACUUUCAGCAGUCAAUGGUAUUGGCAAAUAGUCGAUAGAUCACUGUGAAUGGUGAAGACUUUGGGGCAAAUUGUGAAUAUAAAUACUGAUUAAGGUGGACCCUUCUCUUAGUUACAUCAUGUUAAGGUCCAAGUCCCGGGUGAUAAUAUUCUCUACUAUUAAGUGAAUUUAUAUCGAUGGAAGAUGAGAUAUUUUAUGUCCUUACAAAGACUUCGGUGACUUCGUAAAUUUUUAAUUGGUACCGGAGUCAAAUUAUACAACAUCAUCGUAUUCAUAUUUAAUGUGAGAUUCACUUUCAACAUAAUAUUUAAAAUAAUCAAAAUAAAUAGUUUUUAAAGCCCAUUUUCUUGACUGCAUAAAAGAAAGGUAUUUUUAGUUCAUGAGAUAGAUAGGCAUAACUUCUCAUUUUAAUCAACGAGAUUUGAAAUCAAUUGAAGUGGUUCCUCAGUUUGUUUACUAUCAAUCAUUUUGGUAAUUCCGUGAAAAAUCCAUUAAAUAAGGAUAAAAUGACCAAAAUACCCUCAAUUUUAGUCAAAUCAAUUUGAACAUUAUUUAUUAAAUUGAUAGUAUUUUCGUCAUUUUUGCUCUUAUUUAACAUAAUUUUUUAUGGAAAGAUUGAUGGUGGACAAAUCUUAGGAACUAAAAUGAAGAGUUAUACAAGUCUCACCAUAUAUUGGGCCUCAACUGGGCCUCAUGAAAAAUACUCGGGGCACUUAGCCCAUUAUUUAUGUAUUAAGGAGCGAGCCCUUAUUCUAUAAAAGGGACUCCCUCACUUUCAUUAAAGAGCACCCAUUAUUUAUGUACUGAGGAGCGAGCC
This 1486-nucleotide long non-coding RNA is filed under the name Malus domestica (apple). RNAcentral describes it as "long non-coding RNA (MDOM_LNC012130)". Lineage: Eukaryota; Viridiplantae; Streptophyta; Magnoliopsida; Rosales; Rosaceae. The record is from RNAcentral.